Molecule: ribosomal RNA, 96 nt
Filed under: Acanthosepion pharaonis
Lineage: Eukaryota; Metazoa; Mollusca; Cephalopoda; Sepiida; Sepiidae
Source: RNAcentral
GUUGAAACACUGGUUCCCAUAUGAUCACCAAAGUUAAGCAACAUUGAGUCUGGUCAGUACCAAGAUGGGUGACUGCUUGCAAAUACCAGGUGUUAU